This 433-nucleotide ribosomal RNA is filed under the name uncultured bacterium. RNAcentral's name for it is "partial 16S ribosomal RNA". It matches the Rfam family "Bacterial small subunit ribosomal RNA", at positions 29 to 507 of the family's 1533-position model. The record is from RNAcentral.
AACGAACGCUGGCGGCAUGCCUAACACAUGCAAGUCGAACGAGACCUUCGGGUCUAGUGGCGCACGGGUGCGUAACGCGUGGGAACCUGCCCUUAGGUUCGGAAUAACUCCCCGAAAGGGGUGCUAAUACCGGAUAAUGUCUUCGGACCAAAGAUUUAUCGCCUUUGGAUGGGCCCGCGUUGGAUUAGCUAGUUGGUAGGGUAAAAGCCUACCAAGGCGACGAUCCAUAGCUGGUCUGAGAGGAUGAUCAGCCACACUGGGACUGAGACACGGCCCAGACUCCUACGGGAGGCAGCAGUGGGGAAUAUUGGACAAUGGGUGAAAGCCUGAUCCAGCAAUGCCGCGUGAGUGAUGAAGGCCUUAGGGUUGUAAAGCUCUUUUACCCGGGAUGAUAAUGACGGUACCGGGAGAAUAAGCUCCGGCUAACUCCGUG